AUUGAACGCUGGCGGCAGGCCUAACACAUGCAAGUCGAACGAGUGGCGGACGGGUGAGUAAUGUCUGGGAAACUGCCUGAUGGAGGGGGAUAACUACUGGACACGGUAGCUAAUACCGACUACCAUACGAUGUGCCAAUAUUGGAGUAGCUUGUUGGUGGGGUAACGGCUCACCAAGGCGACGAUCCCUAGCUUGGCUGAGAGGAUGAACAGCCACACUGGGACUGAGACACGGUCCAGACUCCUACGGGAGGCAGCAGUGGGGAAUAUUGCACAAUGGGCGAAAGCUUGAUGCAGCCAUGCCGCGUGUAUGAAGAAGGCCUUCGGGUUGUAAAGUACUUUCAGCGGGAAGGCGUUACCCGCAGAAGAAGCACCGGCUAACUCCGUGCCAGCAGCCGCGGUAAUAC
This 406-nucleotide ribosomal RNA is filed under the name uncultured bacterium. RNAcentral describes it as "partial 16S ribosomal RNA". It matches the Rfam family "Bacterial small subunit ribosomal RNA", at positions 30 to 526 of the family's 1533-position model. The record is from RNAcentral.